GANNGGUAGUUCAGUUGGUUAGAAUACCGGCCUGUCACGCCGGGGGUCGCGGGUUCGAGCCCCGUCCGCUGCGCCA
Molecule: transfer RNA, 76 nt
Filed under: Acinetobacter baumannii
Lineage: Bacteria; Pseudomonadati; Pseudomonadota; Gammaproteobacteria; Moraxellales; Moraxellaceae
Description: tRNA-Asp
Rfam family: tRNA (bases 5-67)
About the family: Transfer RNA (tRNA) molecules are approximately 80 nucleotides in length. Their secondary structure includes four short double-helical elements and three loops (D, anti-codon, and T loops).
Source: RNAcentral